This 399-nucleotide ribosomal RNA is filed under the name uncultured Lactobacillus sp. RNAcentral describes it as "bacterial SSU rRNA". It matches the Rfam family "Bacterial small subunit ribosomal RNA", at positions 64 to 446 of the family's 1533-position model. Lineage: Bacteria; Bacillati; Bacillota; Bacilli; Lactobacillales; Lactobacillaceae. The record is from RNAcentral.
AAACUAACAGAUUUACUUCGGUAAUGACGUUAGGAAAGCGAGCGGCGGAUGGGUGAGUAACACGUGGGGAACCUGCCCCAUAGUCUGGGAUACCACUUGGAAACAGGUGCUAAUACCGGAUAAGAAAGCAGAUCGCAUGAUCAGCUUUUAAAAGGCGGCGUAAGCUGUCGCUAUGGGAUGGCCCCGCGGUGCAUUAGCUAGUUGGUAAGGUAAAGGCUUACCAAGGCGAUGAUGCAUAGCCGAGUUGAGAGACUGAUCGGCCACAUUGGGACUGAGACACGGCCCAAACUCCUACGGGAGGCAGCAGUAGGGAAUCUUCCACAAUGGACGCAAGUCUGAUGGAGCAACGCCGCGUGAGUGAAGAAGGUUUUCGGAUCGUAAAGCUCUGUUGUUGGUGGA